This 520-nucleotide ribosomal RNA is filed under the name uncultured Glomus. Its description in RNAcentral is "SSU rRNA". It matches the Rfam family "Eukaryotic small subunit ribosomal RNA", at positions 569 to 1092 of the family's 1831-position model. The record is from RNAcentral. Lineage: Eukaryota; Fungi; Glomeromycota; Glomeromycetes; Glomerales; Glomeraceae.
AGCAGCCGCGGUAAUUCCAGCUCCAAUAGCGUAUAUUAAAGUUGUUGCAGUUAAAAAGCUCGUAGUUGAAUUUCGGGAUCGACGGGUCGGUCGCGCCUCUGGUGUGUACUGGCCCUGUCGGUUUCUCCCUUCUGACGAACCACGAUGUCAUUAAUUUGGUGUCGUGGGAAAUCAGGACUGUUACUUUGAAAAAAUUAGAGUGUUUAAAGCAGGCAUUCGCUUGAAUACAUUAGCAUGGAAUAAUGAAAUAGGACGUUUGAUCUUAUUUUGUUGGUUUCUAAGAUCGACGUAAUGAUUAAUAGGGAUAGUUGGGGGCAUUAGUAUUCAAUUGUCAGAGGUGAAAUUCUUGGAUUUAUUGAAGACUAACUACUGCGAAAGCAUUUGCCAAGGAUGUUUUCAUUAAUCAAGAACGAAAGUUAGGGGAUCGAAGACGAUCAGAUACCGUCGUAGUCUUAACCAUAAACUAUGCCGACUAGGGAUCGGAUGAUGUAAUUUUUAAUGACUCAUUCGGCGCCUUAAC